RNAcentral lists this ribosomal RNA (253 nucleotides) under uncultured bacterium. Its description in RNAcentral is "partial 16S ribosomal RNA". It matches the Rfam family "Bacterial small subunit ribosomal RNA", at positions 524 to 776 of the family's 1533-position model. The record is from RNAcentral.
UACGUAGGGGGCAAGCGUUGUCCGGAAUCAUUGGGCGUAAAGCGCGUGUAGGCGGCUCGACUAGUCCGCUGUGAAAGUCCAGGGCUCAACCCUGGGAUGCCGGUGGAUACUGUCGAGCUUGAGUCCGGAAGAGGCGAGUGGAAUUCCUGGUGUAGCGGUGAAAUGCGCAGAUAUCAGGAGGAACACCAAUGGCGAAGGCAGCUCGCUGGGACGUGACUGACGCUGAGACGCGAAAGCGUGGGGAGCAAACAGG